This 406-nucleotide transfer-messenger RNA is filed under the name Gammaproteobacteria (g-proteobacteria). Its description in RNAcentral is "JAJPJH01 sp004322325 Standard tmRNA". It matches the Rfam family "transfer-messenger RNA". Rfam says of the family: Bacterial tmRNA, also known as 10Sa RNA or SsrA, is named for its dual tRNA and mRNA-like properties. Its role is to liberate the mRNA from a stalled ribosome. Lineage: Bacteria; Pseudomonadati; Pseudomonadota. The record is from RNAcentral. RNAcentral also lists the same sequence under 1 other name.
GGGGGCGACCUGGUUUCGACGUGGGUUGCAAAGCUUGAGGUGCAUGCCGAGGACGUAACUUAACCUCGUAAAAUACCGUUACAAACCAAAUAGUUGCCAAGAAAAACGCAACUCCCGUUAACGAUGCUUUCUUCGCGGAAGCAUUAGCCGCCUAAACACCGGCAUAACGGCCACCCACCGGUUGUGCUUGUACGACCGGACGUUUACGAAAGUAAACAUGGGGGGUCAUAGCCUACAAGCUCGCAUGAGGAUCAGCCCGAGAUCCGAUUGCUAAAUUUAAACGGGAUCGCUGCCUUAACACCUUUCCAACCAGGCGUGAGGUAGUUAAAUUUAAAGAUUGGAUAAGCAUGUAGACCCGAGAGUAGAGGAUUCGCGGACGCGGGUUCAAUUCCCGCCGCCUCCACCA